CGGAGGCUGCGCUGUCUAGCAGGCGCGCCGUUCUGGGCUGCGAGUGGCUCGCUGGGCAGAUCGUUGGGGACGUGGUGCUCCCGCUUCCAGGUCUCCGCUUCGUGUGUGCGCCCUGCACUUAGGGAUCUGUCCCUCACUGCCCUGGUACCCGCAAGCCUCUCGGCCCCUGACCUUCGCCCUGGGAGGUUCUGGCCAGGUACCGGGAGGGACGCUGUGUCGAGGGCGAUCCCCCCAAAGCAGCGUCCCGUGCUAAAGGUACUGCUUAGGAUGAACAUGAUUUGGAGAAAUUCCAUUUCCUGUCUAAGGCUAGGAAAGGUGCCACACAGAUACCAAAGUGGUUACCACCCAGUGGCCCCUCUGGGAUCAAGGAUUUUAACUGACCCAGCCAAAGUUUUUGAACACAACAUGUGGGAUCACAUGCAGUGGUCUAAGGAAGAAGAAGGAGCAGCCAGAAAAAAAGUAAAGGAAAACUCAGCUGUGCAAGUCCCUCUCGAAGAGCAAGUUAAGUAUGAGAGAGAAGCUAGUAAAUACUGGGAUACAUUUUACAAGAUUCAUAAGAAUAAGUUUUUCAAGGAUCGUAAUUGGCUGUUGAGGGAAUUUCCUGAAAUUCUUCCAGUUGUUCAAAAACCUGAAGAGAAGGCGAGAGAAUCAUCAUGGGAUCUUAUAAAUACGAGUGCUACAAAUUGUUUCUCAAGAAUACACUGUCCUACUAUGCCUGAAGAAAAAAAUCAUUAUGAGAAAAGUUCUGGCUCUUCAGAAGGUCAAAGCAAAACAGAAUCUGAUUUUUCCAACCUAGACUCUGAAAAACACAAAAAAGGACCUAUGAAGACUGGAUUGUUUCCCGGUAGCAAUGCCACUUUCAGGAUACUAGAGGUUGGUUGUGGAGCUGGAAAUAGUGUGUUUCCAAUUUUGAACACUUUGCAGAACUCUCCAGAGUCCUUUCUGUAUUGUUGUGAUUUUGCUUCUGGAGCUGUGGAGCUCAUAAAGUCACACUCGUCCUACAGAGCAGCCCAGUGUUUUGCCUUUGUUCACGAUGUAUGUGAUGAUGGCUUACCUUACCCUUUUCCAGAUGGGAUCCUGGAUGUCAUUCUCCUUGUCUUUGUGCUCUCUUCUAUUCAUCCUGACAGGAUGCAAGGUGUUGUAAACCGACUGUCCAAGUUACUGAAACCUGGAGGAAUGCUGUUAUUUCGAGACUAUGGAAGAUAUGAUAAGACUCAGCUUCGUUUUAAAAAGGGACGUUGUUUAUCUGAAAAUUUUUAUGUUCGAGGAGAUGGUACCAGAGCAUAUUUCUUUACAAAAGGGGAAGUCCACAGUAUGUUUUGCAAAGCCAGUUUAGAUGAAAAGCAAAAUCUGGUUGAUCGCCGCUUACAAGUUAAUAGGAAAAAACAAGUGAAAAUGCACCGAGUGUGGGUUCAAGGCAAAUUCCAGAAACCAUUGCACCAGACUCAGAAUAGCUCCAAUAUGGUAUCUACACUCCUUUCUCAAGACUGAACUUUGUAACAUGUUAAGGUACAAAGCCAGAGGACUGUUAUUCAAGGACUACUAUAAGUCUUUCGUUUCUCAAAAGACAAUGAGAAAAAAAGAAGAGAAUUUGUGUUUCCUGCUGUUUUGUCAUAGAGCCCUUGGACUUUUAUAUUUGUUUUCUACCAUGAUAUCACAAACCAUGAGUUUGUUGAUGCUUCAUAAAUCUGGAAAGAUGUGGCAUGGAUUUAGGAGAAAUAUACCCAGAGAUGUAAAGAGGAAGGAGACACUGGCCAACCAGAAGAUCACCCUCAUUCCUCAGUGAAGGAGAAAGGCCUGACUCCUACCUUGUAUAAGGGAACUAAGGGAACUGGGAUGACGUGAUGGUUAACUUUAGGUGUCAACUUGGCUGGAUUAAGGGAUACCUAAAUAGCCGGUAAAGCAUUAUUUCUGGAGAUUGGUAUGUGAGUCAGUGAACCGAGUGGGGAAGAGCUGCCCUCAAUGUGGGCGACCUGAAUAGAAUAAGGUAGAGGGAAGGUGAAUUUUCUCUCUCUCCUGGAACUAGGACACCCCCUUCUUCUCCUGCCUUUGAACUCCAGGUUAUCUGGCCUUUGGACUCUGGAACUUGCACAAGCAGCAUCUUUGGUUUUUAGGCCUUCAGCCUCAGACUGACAGUUACACUGUUGACUUCCCUGGUGCCGAGAUGUUUGUACUUGGACUGAGCUAUGCCACUGGCUUCCGUGGGUCUCCUGUUUGUAGAUGGCCUAUCAUGGGACUUCUCAGCCUGCAUAAUUCUAUAAUCAAAUGCUUAUUAAGCAUCUACUGUGUGCCAGAACUGUGCUGCAUACUGAGAAUACUGAAAUGCACGUGGCUUAUGAAAUGAACCCCCGCUCUUUAGAUGCCUGCAGUUCAGGAUAGAUGCCCAUUUGUCUGAAGUGUGGACCAUCAACUCUAAGAUGUUAGGGACUGUAUUUUGCAUCUAUCUCCAGCCCUGAAGCAGUAUCCAGAACUACAUUGUGCUGUAUGGAAGCUGUCAGCUACAUAGGAUGCCGUAGCCUGGUAUUUUCAAGAGCUGCCCGGGCUGUUCGAAGAGUGGCUAAUUUUCUACUGAAGGGACUGUGCCCGAAUCCCUGUCCCCCAAGUAAGAACACCCUAAGCCACUGAAGACAGGUGAGAAUUUUGAAAAGUCUCUUGAGUAUCUGAAUUCUCAGUGAGGGUCCAGAAUCUUAUUCAAUUUUUUUUUAACUUGUAUUAUUUCCCCCAGUUUAGUAAGUAAAACUUAUCUUCUGUAAUAAAAAAUAAAAAAAUAAAAAAUAAAA
Chlorocebus sabaeus (green monkey) is the source of this 2780-nucleotide non-coding RNA. NCBI's taxonomy places the organism in Eukaryota, Metazoa, Chordata, Mammalia, Primates, Cercopithecidae. The record is from RefSeq and is a predicted model, not a curated record.